RNAcentral lists this small nuclear RNA (92 nucleotides) under Nomascus leucogenys (northern white-cheeked gibbon). RNAcentral describes it as "U2 spliceosomal RNA". It matches the Rfam family "U2 spliceosomal RNA". Rfam says of the family: U2 is a small nuclear RNA (snRNA) component of the spliceosome (involved in pre-mRNA splicing). Complementary binding between U2 snRNA (in an area lying towards the 5' end but 3' to hairpin I) and the branchpoint sequence (BPS) of the intron results the bulging out of an unpaired adenosine, on the BPS, which initiates a nucleophilic attack at the intronic 5' splice site, thus starting the first of two transesterification reactions that mediate splicing. The record is from Rfam by way of RNAcentral. Lineage: Eukaryota; Metazoa; Chordata; Mammalia; Primates; Hylobatidae.
AUUGCUUCUCGGCCUUUUGGCUAAGAUCAAGUGUAGUAACAAAUGGAAGUAUGUCCAUCUGUGAUGGUUAGUUUUAGUUUUAUGUAUCAAUU